UACGGAGGGUGCGAGCGUUAAUCGGAAUUACUGGGCGUAAAGCGCACGCAGGCGGUUUGUUAAGCAAGAUGUGAAAGCCCCGGGCUCAACCUGGGAACUGCAUUUUGAACUGGCAGACUAGAGUCUUGGAGAGGGGGGGUGGAAUUCCAGGUGUAGCGGUGAAAUGCGUAGAGAUCUGGAGGAACAUCAGUGGCGAAAGCGGCCCCCCUGGCCAAAAGACUGACGCUCAUGUGCGAAAAGUGUGGGUAGCGAACAGGAUUAGACUACCCCAGUC
RNAcentral lists this ribosomal RNA (274 nucleotides) under uncultured bacterium. RNAcentral describes it as "partial 16S ribosomal RNA". It matches the Rfam family "Bacterial small subunit ribosomal RNA", at positions 524 to 795 of the family's 1533-position model. The record is from RNAcentral.